AUUGAACGCUGGCGGCAGGCCUAACACAUGCAAGUCGAACGAGAGGCGGACGGGUGAGAAAUGUCUGGGAAACUGCCUGAUGGAGGGGGAUAACUACUGGAAACGGUAACUAAUACCGCAUACCAUCGGAUGUGCCCAGAUGGGAUUAGCUAGUAGGUGGGGUAAAGGCUCACCUAGGCGACGAUCCCUAGCUGGUCUGAGAGGAGGACCAGCCACACUGGGACUGAGACACGGUCCAGACUCCUACGUGAGGCAGCAGUGGGGAAUAUUGCACGAUGGGCGCAAGCCUGAUGCAGCCAUGCCGCGUGUGUGAAGAAGGCCUUCGGGUUGUAAAGUACUUUCAGCGGGGAGGCGUUACCCGCAGAAGAAGCACCGGCUAACUCCGUGCCAGCAGCCGCGGUAAUAC
This 406-nucleotide ribosomal RNA is filed under the name uncultured bacterium. RNAcentral describes it as "partial 16S ribosomal RNA". It matches the Rfam family "Bacterial small subunit ribosomal RNA", at positions 30 to 526 of the family's 1533-position model. The record is from RNAcentral.